UCUUCUGAUUCCUGAUGCUGUCUGUCAAAGCUCCUGGGAACAACCUGACAGCCAGUAGGACAGUUAAUGAGGCAGGAGCAGCUUUUGUACAGUACCUGACAACUGUUUGAAGUAAAUGGCCAAAGGUAUUUGUGGUUGAUUUUGUGCCGUGCUUGACAAUCCAAGCUGACUAUCAGGAGUUGCUCCGACAGGAAUUCCAAUGUGUGGCAGCACGUCUUGGAGUCGAGUAUUACCACCAAGCAAACCACUUCCCUCUGGACUGUCCUGAGCUGUGGUGGGCUGAUGGUGUCCACCUCAGUGAUGAUAUGAGGACUGGGUUAACCUGCAGCCAACCUUCAACUAGAGACACCACCACCUGCAGCACAGAUGCAGCG
Toxotes jaculatrix (banded archerfish) is the source of this 374-nucleotide long non-coding RNA. RefSeq lists it as uncharacterized. The transcript has 4 exons. The record is from RefSeq and is a predicted model, not a curated record. NCBI's taxonomy places the organism in Eukaryota, Metazoa, Chordata, Actinopteri, Toxotidae.